AUUGAACGCUGGCGGCAGGCCUAACACAUGCAAGUCGAGCGGAUGAAGGGAGCUUGCUCCUGGAUUCAGCGGCGGACGGGUGAGUAAUGCCUAGGAAUCUGCCUGGUAGUGGGGGAUAACGUCCGGAAACGGGCGCUAAUACCGCAUACGUCCUGAGGGAGAAAGUGGGGGAUCUUCGGACCUCACGCUAUCAGAUGAGCCUAGGUCGGAUUAGCUAGUUGGUGGGGUAAAGGCCUACCAAGGCGACGAUCCGUAACUGGUCUGAGAGGAUGAUCAGGCACACUGGAACUGAGACACGGUCCGGACUCCUACGGGAGGCAGCAGUGGGGAAUAUUGGACAAUGGGCGAAAGCCUGAUCCAGCCAUGCCGCGUGUGUGAAGAAGGUCUUCGGAUUGUAAAGCACUUUAAGUUGGGAGGAAGGGCAGUAAGUUAAUACCUUGCUGUUUUGACGUUACCAACAGAAUAAGCACCGGCUAACUUCGUG
This 484-nucleotide ribosomal RNA is filed under the name uncultured bacterium. RNAcentral's name for it is "partial 16S ribosomal RNA". It matches the Rfam family "Bacterial small subunit ribosomal RNA", at positions 30 to 507 of the family's 1533-position model. The record is from RNAcentral.